Molecule: non-coding RNA, 105 nt
Organism: Acanthosepion pharaonis
Lineage: Eukaryota; Metazoa; Mollusca; Cephalopoda; Sepiida; Sepiidae
Source: the annotation of a GenBank genome assembly
CAUCGCGUUGCGACAAUGGUUCCCGUACAAUCAACAAAGUUAAGCAACAUCGAACCUGGUUAGUACCUAGAUGGGUGACCGCUUGGGAAUACCAGGUUCUGUAAG